AGAGCUCAAAUUUAUAAUCUGGCACCUUCGGUGUCCGAGUUGUAAUCUCUAGAAAUGUUUUCCGCGUUGGACCGCACACAAGUCUGUUGGAAUACAGCGGCAUAGUGGUGAGACCCCCGUAUAUGGUGCGGACGCCCAGCGCUUUGUGAUACAUUUUCGAAGAGUCGAGUUGUUUGGGAAUGCAGCUCAAAUUGGGUGGUAAAUUCCAUCUAAAGCUAAAUAUUGGCGAGAGACCGAUAGCGAACAAGUACCGUGAGGGAAAGAUGAAAAGCACUUUGGAAAGAGAGUUAACAGUACGUGAAAUUGUUGGAAGGGAAACGCUUGAAGUCAGACUUGCUUGCUGAGCAAUCGGUUUGCAGGCCAGCAUCAGUUUUCCGGGAUGGAUAAUGGUAGAGAGAAGGUAGCAGUUUCGGCUGUGUUAUAGCUCUCUGCUGGAUACAUCUUGGGGGACUGAGGAACGCAGUGUGCCUUUGGCGGGGGUUUCGACCUCUUCACACUUAGGAUGCUGGUGGAAUGGCUUUAAACGACCCGUCUUGAA
RNAcentral lists this ribosomal RNA (538 nucleotides) under Rhodotorula mucilaginosa. RNAcentral's name for it is "partial large subunit ribosomal RNA". It matches the Rfam family "Eukaryotic large subunit ribosomal RNA", at positions 104 to 658 of the family's 3401-position model. The record is from RNAcentral. Lineage: Eukaryota; Fungi; Basidiomycota; Microbotryomycetes; Sporidiobolales; Sporidiobolaceae.